This 700-nucleotide ribosomal RNA is filed under the name uncultured bacterium. Its description in RNAcentral is "bacterial SSU rRNA". It matches the Rfam family "Bacterial small subunit ribosomal RNA", at positions 56 to 757 of the family's 1533-position model. The record is from RNAcentral.
UGCAAGUCGAGCGGAGCUCAAAUGCGGAUCCCCUUCGGGGGUGAAACAUCUGAGCUUAGCGGCGGACGGGUGCGUAACGCGUGGGUAAUCUGCCCUUGUCACCGGGAUAACACAUCGAAAGGUGUGCUAAUACCGGAUGAAAUACAGACCUGGCAUCGGGACUGUAUCAAAGUCAUGCGGACAAGGAUGAGCCUGCGUCUGAUUAGCUUGUUGGUGGGAUAAAAGCCUACCAAGGCGACGAUCAGUAGCCGACCUGAGAGGGUGAUCGGCCACACUGGAACUGAGACACGGUCCAGACUCCUACGGGAGGCAGCAGUGGGGAAUAUUGCACAAUGGGCGCAAGCCUGAUGCAGCAACGCCGCGUGAGUGAUGAAGGCCUUCGGGUCGUAAAACUCUGUCCUAAGGGAAGAUAAUGACGGUACCUUAGGAGGAAGCCCCGGCUAACUACGUGCCAGCAGCCGCGGUAAUACGUAGGGGGCAAGCGUUAUCCGGAAUUACUGGGCGUAAAGGGUGCGUAGGUGGCCUGACAAGUCAGGGGUCAAAGGCAACGGCUCAACCGUUGUAAGCCCUUGAAACUGUCGGGCUUGAGUUCAGGAGAGGAAAGCGGAAUUCCUAGUGUAGCGGUGAAAUGCGUAGAUAUUAGGAGGAACACCAGUGGCGAAGGCGGCUUUCUGGACUGAUACUGACACUGAGGCACGAA